GUGUCAGCAGCCGCGGUAAGACAGAGGGUGCAAACGUUGCUCGGAAUCACUGGGCGUAAAGGGCGUGUAGGCGGGAGAGAAAGUCGGGCGUGAAAUCCCUGGGCUCAACCCAGGAACUGCACUCGAAACUUCUUUUCUUGAGUGCCGGAGAGGAAAGCGGAAUACCUGGUGUAGAGGUGAAAUUCGUAGAUAUCAGGUGGAACACCAGUGGCGAAGGCGGCUUUCUGGACGGUAACUGACGCUGAGACGCGAAAGCGUGGGGAGCAAACAGGAUUAGAUACCCUUGUAGUCC
This 292-nucleotide ribosomal RNA is filed under the name uncultured bacterium. RNAcentral's name for it is "partial 16S ribosomal RNA". It matches the Rfam family "Bacterial small subunit ribosomal RNA", at positions 505 to 796 of the family's 1533-position model. The record is from RNAcentral.